This 73-nucleotide transfer RNA is filed under the name Oryza glumipatula. It matches the Rfam family "tRNA". Rfam says of the family: Transfer RNA (tRNA) molecules are approximately 80 nucleotides in length. The record is from Rfam by way of RNAcentral. Lineage: Eukaryota; Viridiplantae; Streptophyta; Magnoliopsida; Poales; Poaceae.
GCUCCUGUAGUUCAGUGGAUAGAGCGUCUGUUUCCUAAGCAGUAGGCCGUAGGUUCGACCCCUACCUGGCGCG